Molecule: ribosomal RNA, 479 nt
Filed under: uncultured organism
Description: partial 16S ribosomal RNA
Rfam family: Bacterial small subunit ribosomal RNA
Source: RNAcentral
GUACACUCCUGCGGGAGGCAGCAGUGGGGAAUUUUGGACAAUGGGCGAAAGCCUGAUCCAGCAAUGCCGCGUGAGUGAAGAAGGCCUUCGGGUUGUAAAGCUCUUUUGUCAGGGAAGAAACGGUGAGAGCUAAUAUCUUUUGCUAAUGACGGUACCUGAAGAAUAAGCACCGGCUAACUACGUGCCAGCAGCCGCGGUAAUACGUAGGGUGCAAGCGUUAAUCGGAAUUACUGGGCGUAAAGCGUGCGCAGGCGGUUUUGUAAGUCUGAUGUGAAAUCCCCGGGCUCAACCUGGGAAUUGCAUUGGAGACUGCAAGGCUAGAAUCUGGCAGAGGGGGGUAGAAUUCCACGUGUAGCAGUGAAAUGCGUAGAUAUGUGGAGGAACACCGAUGGCGAAGGCAGCCCCCUGGGUCAAGAUUGACGCUCAUGCACGAAAGCGUGGGGAGCAAACAGGAUUAGAUACCCCGGUAGUCCCAUGAU